This 24-nucleotide non-coding RNA is filed under the name Arabidopsis thaliana (thale cress). The record is from RNAcentral. Lineage: Eukaryota; Viridiplantae; Streptophyta; Magnoliopsida; Brassicales; Brassicaceae.
GCCACUUGUAUGGGCCACAUAGGU